RNAcentral lists this transfer RNA (68 nucleotides) under Marmota monax (woodchuck). RNAcentral's name for it is "tRNA.Ala". The record is from RNAcentral. Lineage: Eukaryota; Metazoa; Chordata; Mammalia; Rodentia; Sciuridae.
GGAUUGUGGCUCAGCGGUAGAGUGCUUGCCUAGCACAUGUGAGGCCCUGGGUUCAAUCCCCAGUACCA